This 5350-nucleotide long non-coding RNA is filed under the name Anthonomus grandis grandis. RNAcentral describes it as "uncharacterized LOC126738215". Lineage: Eukaryota; Metazoa; Arthropoda; Insecta; Coleoptera; Curculionidae. The record is from RNAcentral.
UCCAACGGUUUUGUCUUAGUUUCGUCAUUCUAAAUCCAACGAGACCAUCCGCAAGGUUGUAGCUUUUACGAUAGCCGAGAUAUGGCAUUUUUGAUGCCCAUUUUUGGCCUCAAAAACGGACGUCGAAAACGACUUUUUCAGGAUUUUCAAAGUGCUCUCAUUCCCUUAGUUCUGCUCGGAUCCUGUUAUAACCCGAUGUUUUCGUAAUCUAAAUGAUCAGAAUAAGACGCUGGUAUACUUAGUUUGAUUUCGAAAAAAAUCAAUUUUUGGUGAAAAAAUUCGAUACGGGGGGAUAUACCCGAAAAAUGAAAAAUUCCAAACUUUGAAGGUCGAUAUCUUGGCUUCUAUAGGAGCUAUCGGGAAAAUUCCAACGGUUUUGUCUUAGUUUCGUCAUUCUAAAUCCAACGAGACCAUCCGCAAGGUUGUAGCUUUUACGAUAGCCGAGAUAUGGCAUUUUUGAUGCCCAUUUUUGGCCUCAAAAACGGACGUCGAAAACGACUUUUUCAGGAUUUUCAAAGUGCUCUCAUUCCCUUAGUUCUGCUCGGAUCCUGUUAUAACCCGGUGUUUUCGUAAUCUAGAUGAUCAGAAUAAGACGCUGGUAUACUUAGUUUGAUUUCGAAAAAAAUCAAUUUUUGGUGAAAAAAUUCGAUACGGGGGGAUAUACCCGAAAAAUGAAAAAUUCCAAACUUUGAAGGUCGAUAUCUCGGCUUCUAUAGGAGCUAUCGGGAAAAUUCCAACGGUUUUGUCUUAGUUUCGUCAUUCUAAAUCCAACGAGACCAUCCGCAAGGUUGUAGCUUUUACGAUAGCCGAGAUAUGGCAUUUUUGAUGCCCAUUUUUGGCCUCAAAAACGGACGUCGAAAACGACUUUUUCAGGAUUUUCAAAGUGCUCUCAUUCCCUUAGUUCUGCUCGGAUCCUGUUAUAACCCGGUGUUUUCGUAAUCUAAAUGAUCAGAAUAAGACGCUGGUAUACUUAGUUUGAUUUUGAAAAAAAUCAAUUUUUGGUGAAAAAAUUCGAUACGGGGGGGUAUACCCGAAAAAUGAAAAAGUCCAAACUUUGAAGGUCGAUAUCUCGGCUUCUAUGGGAGCUAUCGGGAAAAUUCCAACGGCUUUGUCUUAGUUUUGUCAUUCUAAAUCCAACGAGACCAUCCGCAAGGUUGUAGCUUUUACGAUAGCCGAGAUAUGGCAUUUUUGAUGCCCAUUUUUGGCCUCAAAAACGGACGUCGAAAACGACUUUUUCAGGAUUUUCAAAGUGCUCUUAUUCCCUUAGUUCUGCUCGGAUCCUGUUAUAACCCGAUGUUUUCGUAAUCUAAAUGAUCAGAAUAAGACGCUGGUAUACUUAGUUUGAUUUCGAAAAAAAUCUAUUUUUGGUGAAAAAAUUCGAUACGGGGGGGUAUACCCGAAAAAUUAAAAAUUCCAAACUUUGAAGGUCGAUAUCUCGGCUUCUAUAGGAGCUAUCGGGAAAAUUCCAACGGUUUUGUCUUAGUUUCGUCAUUCUAAAUCCAACGAGACCAUCCGCAAGGUUGUAGCUUUUACGAUAGCCGAGAUAUGGCAUUUUUGAUGCCCAUUUUUGGCCUCAAAAACGGACGUCGAAAACGACUUUUUCAGGAUUUUCAAAGUGCUCUCAUUCCCUUAGUUCUGCUCGGAUCCUGUUAUAACCCGGUGUUUUCGUAAUCUAAAUGAUCAGAAUAAGACGCUGGUAUACUUAGUUUGAUUUUGAAAAAAAUCAAUUUUUGGUGAAAAAAUUCGAUACGGGGGGGUAUACCCGAAAAAUGAAAAAGUCCAAACUUUGAAGGUCGAUAUCUCGGCUUCUAUGGGAGCUAUCGGGAAAAUUCCAACGGCUUUGUCUUAGUUUUGUCAUUCUAAAUCCAACGAGACCAUCCGCAAGGUUGUAGCUUUUACGAUAGCCGAGAUAUGGCAUUUUUGAUGCCCAUUUUUGGCCUCAAAAACGGACGUCGAAAACGACUUUUUCAGGAUUUUCAAAGUGCUCUCAUUCCCUUAGUUCUGCUCGGAUCCUGUUAUAACCCGGUGUUUUCGUAAUCUAAAUGAUCAGAAUAAGACGCUGGUAUACUUAGUUUGAUUUUGAAAAAAAUCAAUUUUUGGUGAAAAAAUUCGAUACGGGGGGGUAUACCCGAAAAAUGAAAAAGUCCAAACUUUGAAGGUCGAUAUCUCGGCUUCUAUGGGAGCUAUCGGGAAAAUUCCAACGGCUUUGUCUUAGUUUUGUCAUUCUAAAUCCAACGAGACCAUCCGCAAGGUUGUAGCUUUUACGAUAGCCGAGAUAUGGCAUUUUUGAUGCCCAUUUUUGGCCUCAAAAACGGACGUCGAAAACGACUUUUUCAGGAUUUUCAAAGUGCUCUUAUUCCCUUAGUUCUGCUCGGAUCCUGUUAUAACCCGAUGUUUUCGUAAUCUAAAUGAUCAGAAUAAGACGCUGGUAUACUUAGUUUGAUUUCGAAAAAAAUCUAUUUUUGGUGAAAAAAUUCGAUACGGGGGGGUAUACCCGAAAAAUUAAAAAUUCCAAACUUUGAAGGUCGAUAUCUCGGCUUCUAUAGGAGCUAUCGGGAAAAUUCCAACGGUUUUGUCUUAGUUUCGUCAUUCUAAAUCCAACGAGACCAUCCGCAAGGUUGUAGCUUUUACGAUAGCCGAGAUAUGGCAUUUUUGAUGCCCAUUUUUGGCCUCAAAAACGGACGUCGAAAACGACUUUUUCAGGAUUUUCAAAGUGCUCUCAUUCCCUUAGUUCUGCUCGGAUCCUGUUAUAACCCGGUGUUUUCGUAAUCUAAAUGAUCAGAAUAAGACGCUGGUAUACUUAGUUUGAUUUUGAAAAAAAUCAAUUUUUGGUGAAAAAAUUCGAUACGGGGGGGUAUACCCGAAAAAUGAAAAAGUCCAAACUUUGAAGGUCGAUAUCUCGGCUUCUAUAGGAGCUAUCGGGAAAAUUCCAACGGUUUUGUCUUAGUUUCGUCAUUCUAAAUCCAACGAGACCAUCCGCAAGGUUGUAGCUUUUACGAUAGCCGAGAUAUGGCAUUUUUGAUGCCCAUUUUUGGCCUCAAAAACGGACGUCGAAAACGACUUUUUCAGGAUUUUCAAAGUGCUCUUAUUCCCUUAGUUCUGCUCGGAUCCUGUUAUAACCCGAUGUUUUCGUAAUCUAAAUGAUCAGAAUAAGACGCUGGUAUACUUAGUUUGAUUUCGAAAAAAAUCUAUUUUUGGUGAAAAAAUUCGAUACGGGGGGGUAUACCCGAAAAAUGAAAAAUUCCAAACUUUGAAGGUCGAUAUCUCGGCUUCUAUAGGAGCUAUCGGGAAAAUUCCAACGGUUUUGUCUUAGUUUCGUCAUUCUAAAUCCAACGAGACCAUCCGCAAGGUUGUAGCUUUUACGAUAGCCGAGAUAUGGCAUUUUUGAUGCCCAUUUUUGGCCUCAAAAACGGACGUCGAAAACGACUUUUUCAGGAUUUUCAAAGUGCUCUCAUUCCCUUUGUUCUGCUCGGAUCCUGUUAUAACCCGGUGUUUUCGUAAUCUAGAUAAUCAGAAUAAGACGCUGGUAUACUUAGUUUGAUUUCGAAAAAAAUCAAUUUUUGGUGAAAAAAUUCGAUACGGGGGGGUAUACCCGAAAAAUGAAAAAUUCCAAACUUUGAAGGUCGAUAUCUCGGCUUCUAUGGGAGCUAUCGGGAAAAUUCCAACGGUUUUGUCUUAGUUUCGUCAUUCUAAAUCCAACGAGACCAUCCGCAAGGUCGUAGCUUUUACGGUAGCCGAGAUGUGGCAUUUUUGAUGCCCAUUUUUGGCUUCAAAAACGGACGUCGAAAACGACUUUUUCAGGAUUUUCAAAGUGCUCUCAUUCCGUUAGUUCUGCUCGGAUCCUGUUAUAACCCGGUGUUUUCGUAAUCUAGAUGAUCAGAAUAAGACGCUGGUAUACUUAGUUUGAUUUUGAAAAAAAUCAAUUUUUGGUGAAAAAAUUCGAUACGGGGGGGUAUACCCGAAAAAUGAAAAAGUCCAAACUUUGAAGGUCGAUAUCUCGGCUUCUAUGGGAGCUAUCGGGAAAAUUCCAACGGUUUUGUCUUAGUUUUGUCAUUCUAAAUCCAACGAGACCAUCCGCAAGGUUGUAGCUUUUACGAUAGCCGAGAUAUGGCAUUUUUGAUGCCCAUUUUUGGCCUCAAAAACGGACGUCGAAAACGACUUUUUCAGGAUUUUCAAAGUGCUCUUAUUCCCUUAGUUCUGCUCGGAUCCUGUUAUAACCCGAUGUUUUCGUAAUCUAAAUGAUCAGAAUAAGACGCUGGUAUACUUAGUUUGAUUUCGAAAAAAAUCAAUUUUUGGUGAAAAAAUUCGAUACGGGGGGGUAUACCCGAAAAAUGAAAAAUUCCAAACUUUGAAGGUCGAUAUCUCGGUUUCUAUGGGAGCUAUCGGGAAAAUUCCAACGGUUUUGUCUUAGUUUCGUCAUUCUGAAUCCAACGAGACCAUCCGCAAGGUCGUAGCUUUUACGGUAGCCAAGAUGUGGCAUUUUUGAUGCCCAUUUUUGGCUUCAAAAACGGACGUCGAAAACGACUUUUUCAGGAUUUUCAACAAGAUAUAUGUGCGAAUUUGAAAUUUUUAGUGGUAAAGUUGAUCAAGUCACAGAAACAAAAUUGGGUCAUAGAGUUGUCACGAAUCUCACUCGGACAUUGGUGAACAAAAACCACAAAGUUUUUUUUUACUAUUAUUUUAAUAAUCUCUUGUGGAACUAUUCGUAAGAGGCGGAAACAUUUUCCCGAACUCAAAGAAAACAAAGGCGCAUGAAACGUGGAGAUGCCGAUUGGCGUGUUUCAAAAAAUGGAAUAGCUGCACUCAAAUGGAUGGACUGCCGAAGUGUUCUAGUGAAUUAUGGAAACUACUACCAGAAAAAAUAAGAAUGGUUUUUCUGAAGAUUUACCAUGUCCAAAGAUCAUCCUUAAUUACAAUAAUCAUAUGGGAUAUGUUGACCCUUUUGACAUGAUGAAAAGUCUUUAUGAAGUUGACAGAAAGUCUCACAAAUGGUGGCUCUACCUCACUUCGGUGCGCUAAAUGUAGUACCUUAACAGAUGUUCAUAGAACCAUUUGGAAGUGCUCAACUUAAUAGUUGAAGUUGGGUUAUGUCUAAAUAAAGAAAGAAUUGUUUCGCAUUGUUUUACACAAAAUAAUGGACUUUUGAAUCAUUUUAAGUUAUAAAUUAGAAAAAAUAUCUUAAUUUCUUAUUUACUUAGGUCCUAGUGGUUACCAUUAGUAUCCACAUCCUGCAGGAUAAUCCUGUAUAUUUUUUAUUUGUUUAAGACUUAUUUAAACAUAAGCUUGUGCCAAUAAACACGUUUUUAUAAAAAAAUCUUAUUAUUCUCCACUUUCAUAAUUUUCCAAUUAA